Prunus persica (peach) is the source of this 3717-nucleotide RNA transcript. It is a transcript of the gene named serine/threonine-protein kinase prpf4B, with no coding region annotated. The record is from RefSeq and is a predicted model, not a curated record. The transcript is spliced from 13 exons. Lineage: Eukaryota; Viridiplantae; Streptophyta; Magnoliopsida; Rosales; Rosaceae.
CGAAAAGUCAUAAAACCAAAAACCAUUCUCUCUCGCUCGCUCACUCACAUAAUUCAGACUCCCCUCGCAAAACCCAAAAUCAUAAAACGACAAAAAACCAACCCCUAACCCUAGAUUUUCCUGAUGGCCAGCGAAGCCCAAGACUCGCAUCGCAAGCACCGCCGGGCCUCUUCCUCCGAUGACGAGGCCGAGAAGUCGUCGAAGCGCCACAAGCACCGUCACCACCAUCGCCACCACCGUCACCGUCAUGGCAGCAAAAAGCGCGAAGGCGAUAUCAAGCCGGCCGUUGACGAUAUUGAAGCUCCUCUGGCGGCUGUUCUGUUAUCUUCUUCAGGUGCCAAUAGUUCUAGGCCAGAUGAAGACGUGGAGGAAGGCGAAAUUCUUGAGGAGGAGGGUGUCGGUAGUCACGACGACGGCGUCUUGAAGACGACAGCCGGCUCUGAUGCCGAGUCUGGUGAAAUUGAGGCUCUUGGAGUUCGCGAUCAGUCUGAUAAUCGAAAUCUGGGAAUUUUUGUCGAUAACAUUGAUAAUAAUUCAAAAACCAUGAGAGAGCACUGUAGUGACGAUGAUACUCGAAUUCAUGUUGGUGGUAAGUCUCGGGAUGAGACUGGGUUGCCUAGACAUUCCAGUAUUGAGCCUCAAGAUGAUUUAGCUUCCAGAUUAGGCAUAGAGGAUCAUGCCAAUGGCAAUUCCCACCGGUUUCACAAAGAGGAGAAGAGGCGGCACAGGGAAUCUGGGUUGCCUUCUAAAGAAAGUGAUAAGCGAAAGCAUUACUAUGAUGAUGAAAAAGUGGAUGAUGAUAGAAGCAAAGUAGCUAAUCGAAAAAAGCCAUCCUCUGGAAGUAGUGGAGACAAGCACAAGACCUUGGUACGUUCACCAUCUCGUGAUAGGUGCGGGGAUGAUUUAUAUGGUAGGAGCAGAUCGAGGUCAUAUGAUCAUGUGAGGGAGAGAUCAUGCUCCCGCAGUAGAGUAGAAGAGGAGGCCCUUUCUAAAAGGAGACGUUAUCAUGAACGAGACACUGCAGUAUCUGUAGAGAAAAGUAAGGCUACGUUUGACUCUGGUGAUGAAGGAAUGGUUCGGAGGCAUGAUAGUGACGAUUUGGCUAGGGAUGAUGAACGAGAACAGAGUAUUAGUUAUAGCAGAUACUCUGUAUCCGAUCGUAGCAGAGAGAGAGAGAGGAGUAGGGAGAGGGAGGUAGAUAGGAUUCAGAGAAGGGAGAAAGAACAAGAAAGGAGCAGAAAUAGGGAUCGGAGAAGGGAUGGAGAAAGAGAAAGGAGUAGUGACAGGGAUUUGGUUAGGGACAGGAAAAGGGGAAUUGGACGAGACGAUAGCAGGGAAAGGAGAAGAGAAGAGCGACAUAGGAGCAGAGACACGGAGAACAGGGACAGAAAAACGGAGGAAGAAAACGAUAGGAGCAGGGACCGGAUCAAGGCUGAUAGGGACAGAGAUAUGGAGAGGGAUCGAGAUAGGGACAGAGUUACAGACCGGAAAUGGGAGAGGCGAGAUGAUAGAGACAGGGAUAAGGGUCGAGAUAUGGAGAGGGAGAAAUAUGAAAAUCUUGAAGACAGCUAUGGAAAUCGAGAUAGGAAUAAACAUUCUGGUCGAUCAAGACAUGAUGAAAAAGAAUACAACCAGGACAGAACAAGAAAAACUGAUCCAGCAAAGGUUCAGAGUUCAAACAGUUAUGCUGCAGAAGGGAUUGAAGACAGACCAAAAAGAGGUGAAGAUGAACAAGAAGACAAUGAAGAGAGGGCCACUUUUCAAUUUGCUGAGCAGGAAGAGGAAGAUCUGAACAGGAUCAAGGAGGAGAGUCGAAGAAGAAGGCAAGCAAUCUUAGAAAAAUACAGAAAUCAGCAGUCACAGCAAACAAAUGAGUUACAAAAAACUGAGUCACAGUUACAACAACGAAUUGAGCCUCAGCCUCUUUUGGAGGGUGUGGAGAAAGACAAAGAUCCUCAAGAUCAUGCGACCGAAUCAGCUGGUGUUGCCAAAUCUGGUGCAGAAACUGAUGAUGGCAGGAGUGAUGAAGAUGUGUCUCUUGCUGUAUUUUCAAUUUCACCUCAGCAGAAUGGUGAUGUUGCUUCUAGGAUGACGUCUGGUGCCACUGGGCUUGGAGAGGGUACUCCAAAGAGUGAAAGAUCUGAUGUCAUUUUCUGUGAUGAUAUCUUUGGUGAGACCCCAGUUGGAGUUAGAAAAUUGGGCAAAGGAGAUGGUGUUCGAAUUGAAAGGAGUGGUCUUCAUGACAACUGGGAUGAUGCAGAAGGGUACUACAGCUACCGGUUUGGGGAACUACUUGAUGCCCGAUAUGAAAUUACUGCUGCUCACGGAAAGGGUGUCUUUUCAACCGUAGUUCGUGCAAAGAACCUUAAAGUUGGUAACGGUGAACCCGAUGAAGUGGCAAUUAAGAUUAUACGUAGCAAUGACACUAUGUACAAGGCUGGUAUGACGGAGUUGGCCAUAUUGAAGAAAUUAGUAGGUCAAGAUCCAGAAAAUAAGCGCCACUGUGUUCGUUUUCUAUCAAAUUUCAAGUAUCGAAAUCAUCUUUGUUUAGUUUUUGAAUCUCUUCAUAUGAAUCUCCGUGAGGUCUUAAAGAAGUUUGGGCGCAAUAUUGGUCUUAAGCUAACUGCUGUGAGAGCAUAUGCCAAGCAACUUUUUAUUGCACUGAAGCAUCUUAAAAACUGUGGUGUUCUUCAUUGUGAUAUAAAGCCAGAUAACAUGCUGGUAAAUGAGGCUAAAAAUGUGCUGAAGCUUUGUGAUUUCGGUAAUGCCAUGUUUGCUGGAAAGAACGAAGUUACACCGUACUUAGUCAGCCGCUUUUACCGUGCCCCUGAAAUAAUUCUUGGCUUGUCUUAUGAUCAUCCAUUGGAUAUCUGGUCAGUUGGUUGCUGUUUGUACGAACUCUCUACCGGAAAAGUUCUUUUUCCUGGUGCUACAAACAAUGAUAUGCUACGUCUUCACAUGGAAUUGAAAGGCCCAUUCCCAAAGAAGAUGCUUCGGAAGGGAGCAUUUACCCAUCAACAUUUUGAUCAGGAUCUGAACUUCCAUGCCACAGAAGAUGAUCCUGUUACAAAGAAGACUAUCAAACGGGUGAUUCUCAAUAUAAAGCCAAAAGAUAUUGGAUCGAUUAUUACAGGUUCUUCUGGUGAGGAUCCAAAGAUGUUAGCUGAUUUUAAAGAUCUUUUAGAUAAAAUGUUUGUGUUGGAUCCAGACAAGAGGUUGACAGUAUCACAAGCUUUGAGCCAUCCAUUCAUCACUGGCAAGUGAACCCUGUUGCUGAUUUUCUGACUCCAGAAUUCCUGUUCCGCUAGAUAUUUGUACAUUUUGACCUAAUUCAUACAGUUUCUAAUCAUUGGGCAUUAUCUCUCUUCUCUGUGAUGGCCUGAGAGCUUUGACACAGUUUUGGCAUGGUUGAAGUCAAAAGGGGUGAUGUUUGGUCAGGAGUACUCAUUACUGGCGGGUUCUUUCAGUGGAGUGUACUGUUUCUAUUGAUAUGUGCCAUUGCUUUGAGGCAACACUCCAGUGCUUAGAUGCUUAAAAGGAACCCAGGAGAAGGUACCUUGGUUUGUUUAUUGGGAGAAUAUUGUGAGGGACUUGAAAGUAGAUGUCACUGUGUUGCAUGAUUUGUCUUUAUGUUGUUCCUACAUAAAAGCUUCUUUGUAAACUUGGAAAUUUAUUCAAACUGAAUCUAACAGUGUCACUGCCAUAGAUUUGAUAACU